GCUCCCACCUCUCGUCACUACUACUUGCUUCUAGUCCUCCACAGCCGUCCGCUAGUAACAAAUCAAGCCCUAAACAAAGUGAUAAUAUCAGUACAUUAACACGUUUGAUUUAGUGAUUUUUCUUUCAGUCCGGUGACUCCAGUCCAUUGAUUUGAACCUUUCUUAAUAGUGAAUAUAUGAUUUUAUGAAUCUUAAAAUUUGUGAUUUUUGAAUGGUUGAACUCAUCUGCUGCUAUAACCUGUUGGUCGUUUGUCAAUCUCUUGAAUAUGUGAUUUUGUCAAUUUAUGAUAUGUAAAUUUGCUUUGAAUAAUUGAUUCCUGAAUUGUGUUUGUGAUAUGUGAGAUUUAGUUUGGGAACUUUAUUGAAAAUUCAAAAUAGAGGUGGCAUUAUUAGGAAAAUGUGAAACCUUUAUGCUUAAAUUGUUGAAAAUAAAGUCA
Molecule: long non-coding RNA, 437 nt
Filed under: Olea europaea (common olive)
Lineage: Eukaryota; Viridiplantae; Streptophyta; Magnoliopsida; Lamiales; Oleaceae
Description: long non-coding RNA (OEUR_LNC009184)
Source: RNAcentral